Molecule: ribosomal RNA, 231 nt
Filed under: uncultured bacterium
Lineage: Bacteria
Description: partial 16S ribosomal RNA
Rfam family: Bacterial small subunit ribosomal RNA
Source: RNAcentral
UGAGUAACCUGCCCCAAACUUUGGGAUAACCCUCGGAAACGGGGGCUAAUACCGGAUACGACUUUCGGCUGCAUGGCUGAGGGUGGAAAGUUUUUCGGUUUGGGAUGGGCUCGCGGCCUAUCAGCUUGUUGGUGGGGUGAUGGCCUACCAAGGCGACGACGGGUAGCCGGCCUGAGAGGGCGACCGGCCACACUGGGACUGAGACACGGCCCAGACUCCUACGGGAGGCAG